UCUUCAGAUGAUGAUCCCAAGCCUUCUGGCGUUCUGUUCAUUAAAUUCCAAAAGCAUUUAAGAAACAGAUCUGUUUCUUAAACAUAUCUUUUGUUUGUCCCGAGGAAGGUUUUUACCAAUUCACUCCUGAGGGCUUGUAGCUCAGUUGGUUAGAGCGCGCGCUUGAUAAGCGUGAGGUCGGAGGUUCAAGUCCUCCCAGGCCCACCAAUUUAUGAUCGCUGAUAAAAUUUUUACAAACGUUUUGAUGGUUUUUUCUGUGACAAUCUUUGAAAGUUGUUUGAACUUUUUAGGGGCCGUAGCUCAGCUGGGAGAGCACC
This 317-nucleotide unclassified non-coding RNA is filed under the name Bartonella sp. Negev. Its description in RNAcentral is "partial 16S-23S ribosomal RNA intergenic spacer". The stretch from base 131 to 204 matches the Rfam family "tRNA". The record is from RNAcentral. Lineage: Bacteria; Pseudomonadati; Pseudomonadota; Alphaproteobacteria; Hyphomicrobiales; Bartonellaceae.